UUCCGGUUGAUCCCGCCGGACCUGACUGCUAUCGGAUUGAUANUAAGCCAUGCGAGUCAUUGUAGCAAUACAAGGCAUACGGCUCAGUAACGCGUAGUCAACCUAACCUAUGGACGGGAAUAACCUCGGGAAACUGAGAAUAAUGCCCGAUAGAACAUUAUACCUGGAAUGGUUUAUGUUCCAAAUGAUUUAUCGCCAUAGGAUGGGACUGCGGCCUAUCAGUUUGUUGGUGAGGUAAUGGCCCACCAAGACUAUUACAGGUACGGGCUCUGAGAGGAGUAGCCCGGAGAUGGGUACUGAGACACGGACCCAGGCCCUAUGGGGCGCAGCAGGCGAGAAAACUUUGCAAUGUGCGAAAGCACGACAAGGUUAAUCCGAGUGAUUUCUGCUAAAGAAAUCUUUUGUUAGUCCUAGAAACACUAACGAAUAAGGGGUGGGCAAGUUCUGGUGUCAGCCGCCGCGGUAAAACCAGCACCUCAAGUGGUCAGGAUGAUUAUUGGGCCUAAAGCAUCCGUAGCCGGCUCUGUAAGUUUUCGGUUAAAUCUGUACGCUCAACGUACAGGCUGCCGGGAAUACUGCAGAGCUAGGGAGUGGGAGAGGUAGACGGUACUCGGUAGGAAGGGGUAAAAUCCUUUGAUCUAUCGAUGACCACCUGUGGCGAAGGCGGUCUACCAGAACACGUCCGACGGUGAGGGAUGAAAGCUGGGGGAGCAAACCGGAUUAGAUACCCGGGUAGUCCCAGCUGUAAACUAUGCAAACUCAGUGAUGCAUUGGCUUGUGGCCAAUGCAGUGCUGCAGGGAAGCCGUUAAGUUUGCCGCCUGGGAAGUACGUACGCAAGUAUGAAACUUAAAGGAAUUGGCGGGGGAGCACCACAAGGGGUGAAGCCUGCGGUUCAAUUGGAUUCAACGCCGGG
This 914-nucleotide ribosomal RNA is filed under the name uncultured crenarchaeote. Its description in RNAcentral is "bacterial SSU rRNA". It matches the Rfam family "Archaeal small subunit ribosomal RNA", at positions 1 to 922 of the family's 1478-position model. Lineage: Archaea; Thermoproteati; Thermoproteota. The record is from RNAcentral.